RNAcentral lists this transfer RNA (24 nucleotides) under Rubus arcticus (Arctic raspberry). RNAcentral's name for it is "partial tRNA-Leu". The record is from RNAcentral. Lineage: Eukaryota; Viridiplantae; Streptophyta; Magnoliopsida; Rosales; Rosaceae.
UGGUUCCAAGGCCUCUAUCCCCAA